UGGAGGGGCCGCGGCGGCGCCGGGGGUGCCAGCCGCCUCCUCUGGCCGCCGGCCCGUCGGCCCUGCAAAGUUUAACGCCAAUUCCCCUUGCGUCCUGGGAGCCGAGCGUUUUCUCUCCCUGCUGACGCUCCCAGCAGCUCUGCCUGGCCAGGCCAGGCUGGAGAGCACCCGGACCAUUUUCCAGACGGUGAGAUGGAGCCCUGGAAACCGAGCUUAUGAGCAGCCCGGAGCUUUCCAUUGCCUGCCCAGCCUUCCAGAUACAUCCCAGUUCCAGUUCUUUCCAGAGCCCUCUGGGAUCCAGCCAGCCUGCUUCCCCGCCAGGGCCUCACUGCUUCCAAACUCCCCAGCCAACGCCCAGCUUCUGUGCCGAGGAGGAUACAGGAGGACAGACACAGCCUCUGUGUCAGGAGGAGGGAAGAAGGACUAAUGUCUGUGGACACUCUGAGGCUCACAGGGAGAAGCCACACACUCGCAGCACCAGGUAUAUUAUCUCUGUUCUCCCACUAGACUUUAAGCUCAGUGGAUGCCAGGACCCUUAGAACAAAGCACAUAGCAAGUUUUCAGUGAAGCCUUGUUAACUUUCAAAUGAAGGAAUAAACGAAUGACUAUAUUUCCACUUCGCAGAUGAGUAAACAGAGGCUUGGAGGGGUGAUGAAAUUUGCCAACAGUCAUCAAUCGUUCCAGGAACAGGUGAUGCUUCCCGGCAGUGAGACUCGAAACCAGCGGGAGUUCCCAGCCAGAGACAUGAUCUAAGUGCCAAUGGCUGAAUGUCUGUGAGCAUUUCAAGUCAUUUUAAGAAUAGGCAACAUUAGCGGCACCAUUAAAGCCUGCUGUUCCUCCAGCCCAUCACUGCCAUCCCCACCUAUUAAAAUAAUGGCAUGAAAAAUAAACAGCCUUUAUGUACAAUUU
Homo sapiens (human) is the source of this 909-nucleotide long non-coding RNA. Lineage: Eukaryota; Metazoa; Chordata; Mammalia; Primates; Hominidae. The record is from Ensembl.